Molecule: long non-coding RNA, 2357 nt
Organism: Numida meleagris (helmeted guineafowl)
Lineage: Eukaryota; Metazoa; Chordata; Aves; Galliformes; Numididae
Exons: 4
Source: RefSeq, a predicted model, not a curated record
UGGGAGUAGCAGUUGGGGUGUGGGAGUGGAUAUUAAGAGUCUAGGGGUGAGAACCUGGGGAAUAGGGGUAGGAACUGGAGGCCUGAAGUGGGAAGUGGGGGAAUGGAGGUGAGAAUUUGGGAUCUGGGAGGUGAGAACUGGGGGUUGAGGUGGGAAUUGGGGGACUGGGAGCAGCAAUUGGGCUCUGGGAGUAGAUAUAAGUCUCAGGGUGAGCAUAGAAGGUCUCUAGUGGGAACUGGGGAGCUGGGGGUGGGACUUGGGGGAAUCAGGAUGGGAGCUGAGAGGUGAGAACUGGGGGAGUGGGGCUGGAAAUUGGAAGUCUGGGGGUGAGAACUGGGGGGCUGGAGGUGGGAGCUGGAGGAAUGGGUAGAAAGUGGGGGACUGGGAGCGGAUACUGGGGGUUGAGGGGUGAGAAUUGGAGGAAUGGGAAUUGGAGGACUGGGAAUUGGGGUCUGGGUGUGGGAAUUGGGAAGAACUAGGGUGGGAAAUGGUGGGCUGGGGGUGAGAACUGGGAGUUGGGGUCAGAAUUGGGGAACUAGAGGUGAGAAUUGGGGGACUGGGAAUGGGAAUUGGGGGACAAGGAAUAGGAAUUGGGGGAUGGAAAUGGGGCAGUUGGGAGGCUAGGAGUGGGAAUUGGGAUCCUGGGGCUGGGAACUGGGUGAAUUAGGGGAAUUGGAAUAGGAACUGGGGAAUGGAGGUGGGAACUAGGGGGAUAGGGGUGGGGAUUGAGGGAAUUGGAAUGGGGAUUGGGGGUUGGAGAUGGCACCAGGCACUGGCACCAGCCCCUGGGAUUUCCUCGGUGCCUUAGGGCAUCACCUGUGGAGGGAGAGCAAUCGGAGUGCAAGAUUUGGAUAAGAAUCAUCCCAAAAGAGCCACUUUUUCCCUUUCUCUGGUUUGCAAGAGGGAAACUGAAGCAUGGAGGAGGGGGGCAGGUGCUUGGCCCCGUGUGCAAUGGAGCUGGGGUGGCACGGUGGAAGACGCACGCUCUCACCAUGCAAAUAUCCCUAAAAAUGGGCUGUUGUUUUGCUUUGUAGCUUUUGUCACAUAUUCAAAUCAUGCAGUAUUUGUGUUAGGGCUAUUUUAGUUCGUUUGCCAGAGUGUUGUUCCAGGAAUGCAAUGUUUUCCCUGGCAGCAAAAGCCUUUGUUCGUGUUUUCCUCCUCCUUGCGUGUUUUCCUCUCUGCUCGCAGCCCUGGGGGCUGCCGUGGUCUGCUUGUGCUCAAAACCAGUGCAGGAGCCUGGCGAGGGUGAGCAGAGCUUCUGCUCCUUUUUGAAGAUGCCAGCCAAUGAACCCAACUGAUGAACCCAGCCAAUGAACCCAACUGAUGAACUCAGCCAAUGAACCCAACUGAUGAACCCAAACAAUGAACCCAACCGAUGAACCCAAGCCAGUUCCUCUGGCCGUGCUUGAAUUAAACAGCAUUUUUCUGACUUUUACAAAGUCGCUCAGCCCCGUUACAGCCUCUGGAAUACCAAAGCAGCUCAUGAGUGAGAAGCCAAAUUACUGUCCUUGACCAUGAUGGGGAAGUUUGGGCUAUAAUUCAGUGAUGCGUCUCCCAUGAAGAUGUGCUUAACAGGGUUCAGAGGGCAGUCACAAAUCAAGGAGCGUCGCAACGGGCCACCUGGUGUUCAGCAAGAUAGAAGUCAGACAGCAAGAAGCUUGCUUGCAAAGGAAUGAAAACGUGAAAAAGUUGUGACUGAUCUGAAAUGCACUGGAACAGGCAUCUGGGGCAAUCUGCAUGUGUGGGGAUGAAAUUAGGGCAAGUGCCCUGGCUGAACCCCAGCUGAAUGGAACACCCAAUCACACAGAGGAGGGAGGCUUCUCUGCCCCAGUGUCCCUGCUGCACAGCACCUCCUAAAAAAAGAGAGGUAACAACUGUGAGUGCUGGGUUCCUUACGUCCCUUCUCAACUGAAGAGAUCCAAGUCUUUCCUGAAACUCUUCUGGAGUGCCAGAGACAGGCUGGAGUCAGUCAGAAAUGAUGCCAGUGCCCCGGGACAUCAGCAGAUACAAGCUCUCACCUCGCCAGGGCUCCUGAUGGCACAAGCAGCAGCAUUGUGGCUCUGCUUGCCAGAGCACUGGGAAGCCAAUGCCACCUCCUGGCCACAAACCCUGCGGGACUUGGGUCACCUAACUGCAAGAGGAAGCUCACGAUAAGACUUAAAGCUCUCUACAGCUCCCUGAAAGGAGGUUGUGCUGAGGUGAGAGUUGGUCUGCUCUUUCAGGUAACAGCAAGAUGAGAGGCAAUGGCCUCAAGCUGGACAUGGGGAGGUUCAGGUUGGAUAUUGAAACAUUUCUUGUCAGAAGCACAGGCUGCCCAGGGAGGUGGUGGAGUCACCAUCCCUGGAGGUGUUCCAGAA